This 309-nucleotide long non-coding RNA is filed under the name Mytilus galloprovincialis (Mediterranean mussel). The record is from RNAcentral. Lineage: Eukaryota; Metazoa; Mollusca; Bivalvia; Mytilida; Mytilidae.
UUUUUUUUUUAAAUAAGCUUAAUGCAAUUGCCAGCUGAAAUCAUAUCAAGUUUAGUAGUUUCCAAGGCUUUCAGAAAUCAACUGGAAAUUUUUUUUAAAAAAAAUGCUGCUCAUCUUGUAUGGCAUUUUAUCAAUCAAAUGAAUUUGCCCAAUGACCAUCAACCUUGGGAAUUUCUGAUGAACUAAGUCAUCCAGGACAAACACUCUACAAAACGGAUUGGUGACUGUACCUUUAUUAAAAUGCUAAAUAUGAGGUGCGUUAUAUUUAAACCUGCAUAAUAAUUUUGUUUUGUGUCUAUGAGAAACCCC